UUUUUGUCUUCACUAUUAUUGCUUGAAGAGAUUAUUUACUUGGUUUCUUUGUGUGUAUUAUGCAACAACACAUGGUUUCUCCUUUAGACCACUUUUGAGAGAAUUUUGGCUGCUCGGUCUAUGAUUUUUGUCUUCGACCAUUAGCUGCCUAUUUUCGUUCUCUAUGACCGGCUAUUGCUCUCCCUCACCGGAGCCUGUCUAUAGCUUCUGUUUUGUACCUAUGACAGCCCCGGUUUGCACCUUCUUAUCGUCCCGGUUUUGCUAUCUAUUUCGGCAGCUUCUCUUCCUUCAUUCGUGAAGUCAUUUGGAUGAAUCCUUCGUGGUUAUGGCACAAGUUUCUUUGCAAUGGUCCGAUGUUAAAGUUGCCUUGUGAUUUGGGUGUUGAUCUGAGCCCUGUAUAAUCUACUUUUGCUUGCGAAUUUCAUUUUGAAAGAGAAGUUUAACUCUUGCUUUAUUUACAGUGUUCAUAUUGUUAUUAUCAAUUGAUUUGACCUUUGUAAUUGGUUUAUCGAUUGAAGGUUGAAAUUACACUACAAGUGUUUCUUUGAUGUCCCUUUUAGAGCCAAUUUUUAUAAGACUAAAGAGGACAGGAAUAAUGUUUGAUUUGGUGCCUCAAAAUCAGGAAAAGAAGACAGGAAGAUUGCGUGUGGUAUUUUACUUGGAAAGAAGUCAGAUGUUAUCCAAUAAAAUAGGCAAAGAAUCCGGGAAAUAAGGAAAGAAAUUCUUUUCCAAUUGAAACUUCAUGCGACCGCACUAACACACUAUGCGGUCGCACAAGGGCUGUCAGGGAAUUUCAACUGCCAAUUAAUCUACUCCAUGCGACCGCAAGGAGUAUACCUGUGCGGUCGCACAGUAAUAAUUUUUGAUGGCGGCGAAUUUUUUUCUUUACGUGAUUUUUAACCUAGUUUUCAUAUUUUCUCCUUCUUUUAGGAUUUGACUCGUGUACUAUAAAUAUAGAGGUCCUCUUUUCAGUUUAAGAUGUAACAAUAGAAGCUUUCAUUGCUAUUGUACUCUCCUUUCACAGUGCUGAAUAGAAUAUCGUUCAUUUGUCA
RNAcentral lists this long non-coding RNA (1052 nucleotides) under Olea europaea subsp. europaea. Lineage: Eukaryota; Viridiplantae; Streptophyta; Magnoliopsida; Lamiales; Oleaceae. The record is from RNAcentral.